RNAcentral lists this unclassified non-coding RNA (216 nucleotides) under Hevea brasiliensis (rubber tree). Lineage: Eukaryota; Viridiplantae; Streptophyta; Magnoliopsida; Malpighiales; Euphorbiaceae. The record is from RNAcentral.
GCCUGGAUCCAGAUCAAUGUCUGCCAUGAAUUUGGCAUCGUGGAAUUGUUGUCGUACCUUUUGGGCAUAUUCAUCACAGGUUGGUCCCACUGGAACUACCAUUACCUGGCGAGGGGACAGCCAAAAGGGCCAUUUGCCCCCAUAGUUUUCUGUGAGGAUAGCAAUCAUUCUUUCCACUGAUCCCAAGAUGGCUCGAUGAACAAUCACUGGCCUUUU